This 369-nucleotide ribosomal RNA is filed under the name Pantoea agglomerans. RNAcentral describes it as "bacterial SSU rRNA". It matches the Rfam family "Bacterial small subunit ribosomal RNA", at positions 993 to 1363 of the family's 1533-position model. The record is from RNAcentral. Lineage: Bacteria; Pseudomonadati; Pseudomonadota; Gammaproteobacteria; Enterobacterales; Erwiniaceae.
GAAUUUAGCAGAGAUGCUUUGGUGCCUUCGGGAACGCUGAGACAGGUGCUGCAUGGCUGUCGUCAGCUCGUGUUGUGAAAUGUUGGGUUAAGUCCCGCAACGAGCGCAACCCUUAUCCUUUGUUGCCAGCGAUUCGGUCGGGAACUCAAAGGAGACUGCCGGUGAUAAACCGGAGGAAGGUGGGGAUGACGUCAAGUCAUCAUGGCCCUUACGAGUAGGGCUACACACGUGCUACAAUGGCGCAUACAAAGAGAAGCGACCUCGCGAGAGCAAGCGGACCUCACAAAGUGCGUCGUAGUCCGGAUCGGAGUCUGCAACUCCCUCCGUGAAGUCGGAAUCGCUAGUAAUCGUGGUCAGAAUGCGGCGGUU